UUAGUGGCGGACGGGUGAGUAACGCGUGAGUAACCUGCCUUUCAGAGGGGGAUAACAGUUGGAAACGACUGCUAAUACCGCAUAACGUAUCGUUAUCGCAUGGUAAUGAUACCAAAGCUGAGGCGCUGAAAGAUGGACUCGCGUCUGAUUAGAUAGUUGGUGGGGUAACGGCCUACCAAGUCGACGAUCAGUAGCCGGACUGAGAGGUUGAACGGCCACAUUGGGACUGAGACACGGCCCAGACUCCUACGGGAGGCAGCAGUGGGGAAUAUUGCACAAUGGGCGCAAGCCUGAUGCAGCAACGCCGCGUGAGGGAAGACGGUUUUCGGAUUGUAAACCUCUGUCUUUGGUGAAGAAGAAAGUGACGGUAGCCAAGGAGGAAGCCACGGCUAACUACGUGCCAGCAGCCGCGGUAAUACGUAGGUGGCAAGCGUUGUCCGGAAUUACUGGGUGUAAAGGGAGCGCAGGCGGGACUGCAAGUUGGAUGUGAAAUACCGCAGCUUAACUGCGGAGCUGCAUCCAAAACUGUAGUUCUUGAGUGGAGUAGAGGUAGGCGGAAUUCCGAGUGUAGCGGUGAAAUGCGUAGAUAUUCGGAGGAACACCGAUGGCGAAGGCAGGUCUCUGGGCUGUAACUGACGCUGAGGAGCGAAAGCAUGGGGAGCGAACAGGAUUAGAUACCCUGGUAGUCCAUGCCGUAAACGUUGGGCACUAGGUGUGGGGGACAUUCCACGUUUUCCGCCCCGUAGCUAACACAUUAAGUGCCCCGCGGGGGGAGUACGGCCGCAAGGCUAAAACUCAAAGGAAUUGACGGGGGCCCGCACAAGCGGCGGAGCAUGCGGAUUAUUUCGAUGCAACGCGAAGAACCUUACCAAGGCUUGACAUGAACCGGAAAGGCCUGGAAACAGGUCCCCCACUUGUGGCCGGUUUACAGGCGGUGCAUGGUUGUCGUCAGCUCGUGUCGUGAGAUGUUGGGUUAAGUCCCGCAACGAGCGCAACCCUCGUUCUAUGUUGCCAGCGGGUUAUGCCGGGGACUCAUAGGAGACUGCCGGGGUCAACUCGGAGGAAGGUGGGGACGACGUCAAAUCAUCAUGCCCCUUAUGUCUUGGGCUUCACGCAUGCUACAAUGGCCGGUACAAAGGGUGGCGAUACUGUGAGGUGGAGCUAAUCCCAAAAAGCCGGUCUCAGUUCGGAUUGAGGUCUGCAACUCGACCUCAUGAAGUUGGAGUCGCUAGUAAUCGCAGAUCAGCAACGCUGCGGGGAAUACGUUCCCGGGCCUUGCACACACCGCCCCUCAAG
RNAcentral lists this ribosomal RNA (1296 nucleotides) under uncultured bacterium. RNAcentral's name for it is "bacterial SSU rRNA". It matches the Rfam family "Bacterial small subunit ribosomal RNA", at positions 92 to 1401 of the family's 1533-position model. The record is from RNAcentral.